GGAGAGUGUGUGUGUUUAUGUUGGGGGGUGCAGGGGCUGCUCCAGGCAGAGGGCCCAGCAGUGCUGCGGUGGAGGCAGGAGAGAGCUGGGUGAGUCUGAGGAAAUCAGUGGAGUUGGAGUGUAGUGAGUGUGGGGCAAGACCAGGAAAGGAGGGGCAGGGGCCAGAUGAAAGACCAUAGGGAGGACUAUGGAUUUUGUUGUAAGGGCAGCAGAGGUCACUAAAGGGUUCUAGACAGGGGCACAUCUUCAGAAGUUGACCUGGCUGCUUCCUAGGGCUGGGUUGGAGGAAGCCCUAAGUGAAGGUGGGUGAUGGUCGUCUAGGGAAGGGGAACUGGCCAGGGUGGUACAAGAUGCCACUACAGGGGCCAGGUGUGGUGGUUCACACCUGUAAUCCCAGCAUUUUGGGAGGCCGAGGUGGAUGGAUCACUUGAGGUCAGGAGUUCGAGACCAGCCUGACCAACAUGAAGAAACCCUGUCUCUACCAAAAAUACAACAAGAGCAAAACUCC
This 508-nucleotide long non-coding RNA is filed under the name Homo sapiens (human). RNAcentral's name for it is "non-protein coding lnc-ACOT11-4:1". Lineage: Eukaryota; Metazoa; Chordata; Mammalia; Primates; Hominidae. The record is from RNAcentral.